RNAcentral lists this long non-coding RNA (1302 nucleotides) under Daucus carota (carrot). RNAcentral describes it as "long non-coding RNA (DCAR_LNC003097)". The record is from RNAcentral. Lineage: Eukaryota; Viridiplantae; Streptophyta; Magnoliopsida; Apiales; Apiaceae.
GAGAAAAGGAAGACCUUGUUACCAGGGUGAGAGAAAUUGAGUUCCUCAGUAUAAUUAAAAGAAGAGAUGGUUGGGAAGCCACCCUGGCCUUGACCUCUCCAGGUUCCUAGUAAGUAUGAGAGUGGCUUUACUGCUGAUCAUCAACCAGCUUAAAAGUCCGAGUAAUCUCCUUCACCUGUUUGUAACAAGAGAAUCAUGAAAUAUUUUUAGCUUCUCCAGUAAUGCCAAAAUUUAACCUUUUUAUCCAAAUUUUGCUAUGAAUGUGCAUAUGUUCAACUAUGGAAACAGAGCCACUUUAACCCUAAUCUAAAGUACUUCAAUUAAAAAAAAAACUAUCCAGAGAAAUUAGUUCAGGAAACAGAGGAUAUGCACUAGAUAAAAUAUGUGCAGUAUCACUAAGGAGCAGAGGCUAAAAAUCAUCUCCUCAGUCCUCAUUGUGCAGGCGUCAAGAGUAUAAUAAAUGAAAUGGAGAGACAAUCUCAAACUUAUCAAUCACACAAAAACAGCCGCCAGAAUCCGGUAAACGUUCAAUUACCAAUAGCAACAAUUGUCUGAUCACUGCUAAAAUUCUCAAUUGUUGAUAGGGCUUUUAAUCAGCACCACAACAAAUUAAUAUCUGCCUAACAGAUAUCGUGCACUUGUAAGUUGUAUGCUCCAGUGACCAUAUAAUACCUUAGCAGCAUUGCCCACGAGUUCACUCCUAAGCUUCACCGCUUUCUCUUCUGCAUCAAAUGUUCCUUUCUGGAACCAGUAAAUCCAAUUAACACGACAACACAGCAAAAUGAACACGAGAAAAAAGCGAUAUACGAACAAUAGGGGUCAGGGUGUACCAGGACUUCUACAAGACCAGUACUCUGUGCAAUGACGACUUCAAUGGAGCCAUCAGGUUUGGGCCUCCAGUAACCACUCUCCGCGUGCAUCGGCUCUCCCGAAUUCGAUUUCCAUGUCUUUUGUGUGUAUAUUAUAACAGGCUAUAUUUUUUAAUACAACAAAAUUGAAAUUACAAGCACAUACAUAAAUAAAAUGAGUGAAAAUGAGUAAAUGGUGAUAAGAGAAAAGGAAGACCUUGUUACCAGGGUGAGAGAAAUUGAGUUCCUCAGUAUAAUUAAAAGAAGAGAUGGUUGGGAAGCCACCCUGGCCUUGACCUCUCCAGGUUCCUAGUAAGUAUGAGAGUGGCUUUACUGCUGGAUGUAUUGCUCCUGGUUGACUCAUCUUCUUUGUUUUUCUGAUCCACCACACCAGAUUACAGGAGCGCUGUGGUUGUGUACUUGUGUAUCGCCUUGUAGUUUCCCCAACUCCAGC